This 201-nucleotide ribosomal RNA is filed under the name uncultured bacterium. RNAcentral describes it as "partial 16S ribosomal RNA". It matches the Rfam family "Bacterial small subunit ribosomal RNA", at positions 328 to 538 of the family's 1533-position model. The record is from RNAcentral.
ACGCUCGACACCUACGGGGGCAGCAGUCGGGAAUAUUGCGCAAUGGAGGAAACUCUGACGCAGUGACGCCGCGUGCAGGAAGAAGGUUUUCGGAUUGUAAACUGCUUUAGACAGGGAAGAAAGAAAUGACAGUACCUGUAGAAUAAGCUCCGGCUAACUACGUACCAGCAGCCGCGGUAAUCUGAGCGGGCGUGGCAAGGC